CUUUACUUUCCUUUUAAUUCGAGUUUCUCUUUUCUUUUCAAAAAGAUUUUCGAAUUUCAAACAAUCCUCAACAAUUUGCAAUUUGAUAUCCGUUCCACAUCGUUUCAAAACACAUCAAAUUCUAGAAUUGGCUCUCUAUAAAUAGAACCCUCUCUUCAUUGUCAAACCAUAGUUUUACACACCACCACUCAGCUAAAAGACAUUUUGAAUUUGAGCUUUGAGUUUGUUUGGUGUUCUAAAGUUCAAAUUUUAAUAUUUUGAGUAUUGAUCUCGUUUUCGUUGGUGAAAAGUAAUCGACUCAACUCUCUCGACAAAAAGAUUGUGAUAUAGAGACUGCUACCCGUCCUCACAUCUUGCGUUGAGGACGUUGUUGUCAGAUUUAGGGUACAGAUUUACAGGACGACGCAUCUGCUCAGUAGGAUUCUUCAUGUAUCAACUUGUUGGUGAGCCCCAUCUCCUACGGGGUUUAGUCAUUCUUCUAUUUUCUUAUGUUAGUCAUGCAUCAGGGUAUGCUGGGGGCCUGGUCCCAGCAAGUAUGUUUUACGAUCCAGACUCAUGAUAGAGGUUUCAUAGACUAGUUAGUUAUGUUAUGUCAGAUAUUUAGAGUUGUUUAGCCAUCUUUGGCUCAAUUCUUGGUAUUUCUGCAUUCAUGUUCUAAACGAGUAUUUUAUUAAUUAUUAUGACUUUAUGUGUUUUCUUAAAGCCCAUCAUAUGUCAUGUUAUAUUCCGCUCAUGUAUGUCUCAUAAUGAUUCAGCAAGCCAUGUGGUUCGCUUGGUCACAUGCAGUAAGGCACCGAGUGUCGUGUUUCACCCAGGCCAUGGUUUGGGGCAUGACAAAGCUUGGUAUUAGAGCCUAGGUUCUAGUGUCUUAGGGAGUCUAUGAAACCAUGUCCAGUGGAGUUUCCUUUAUAUGUGUGUGCCGGCCACAUAUAUAAAUGGUUAACUACCAAGACAUUCUGGAUUGUCUCGCUUGUUUCAUACUCUAGGUCGUGCAAUUAGAGCCAUUCGUUCAUGAACUUUCCUAACUCGUUCCACGAAGCAUAGAACAGUAACAUUCUCUUCCUAUCGAAUUCGGAACGCAUCGAAUGCGCAAGCGACGAGCAGGAAAUCAAAGUUCCAAGUGAGGAUGAUUACCCAUCGGGUGGUGCAUGUUGCUGACAGAUGAGAGUUGAGACGAUAUUGAGAGUGGGACAGAAUUCAUAGUCAUUAUAGACCAGAACAUAACCCUUAUCAGAAAGGACCAAGGCAGUAUCAUGUUUUAUAGUUAUCAGUUCACCUCAGUUAUCAGUUAUACAGUCUUGCAGUUAGCAGGGUUAUGGUUAUUCAGCACACUAAUAUUCAGUUAUUUGGCUAUUAGAUCUUUAAUUUUCAGUGUAUCUGAAUUUUUUUGUGGCAUAUGAGUAUACAGUGAUGCCUAUGGGUGCUAAGAAAAAGUGUAGGUAACGACUACUACAACGAAAU
Lycium barbarum (goji berry) is the source of this 1461-nucleotide long non-coding RNA. RefSeq lists it as uncharacterized. Lineage: Eukaryota; Viridiplantae; Streptophyta; Magnoliopsida; Solanales; Solanaceae. The transcript has 3 exons. The record is from RefSeq and is a predicted model, not a curated record.